This 335-nucleotide unclassified non-coding RNA is filed under the name soil metagenome. Its description in RNAcentral is "partial contains 5.8S ribosomal RNA, internal transcribed spacer 2, and large subunit ribosomal RNA". The stretch from base 1 to 120 matches the Rfam family "5.8S ribosomal RNA", at positions 35 to 154 of the family's 154-position model. The record is from RNAcentral.
GAUGAAGAACGCAGCGAAAUGCGAUAAGUAAUGUGAAUUGCAGAAUUCAGUGAAUCAUCGAAUCUUUGAACGCACAUUGCGCCCGCCAGUAUUCUGGCGGGCAUGCCUGUUCGAGCGUCAUUUCAACCAUCAAGCCCCCGGCUUGUGUUGGGGACCUGCGGCUGCCGCAGGCCCUGAAAACCAGUGGCGGGCUCGCUAGUCACUCCGAGCGUAGUAGUUACAUCUCGCUCAGGGCGUGCUGCGGGUUCCGGCCGUUAAAAGCCUUAUUUACCCAAGGUUGACCUCGGAUCAGGUAGGAAGACCCGAUGAACUUAAGCAUAUCAAUAAGCGGAGGA